This is a long non-coding RNA of Rhipicephalus sanguineus (brown dog tick), 633 nucleotides long. RefSeq lists it as uncharacterized. Lineage: Eukaryota; Metazoa; Arthropoda; Arachnida; Ixodida; Ixodidae. The transcript has 2 exons. The record is from RefSeq and is a predicted model, not a curated record.
AAAGGCCCCUAGCUCUGUUUGUAUUCUACUAAGUCCCGGCGGUUAGUGUGCAUUAAGUUUUGCGUUAAACCUUAAACUCCCUACUGAAUAGGUGUGUAGCCCAAAUGAUCUAGUUCACGACGAAGAAAACGCCACGUUUGAUCGAAGUGCAACGACAGUGCAAUAUCCUUACACGGUCUCAAAGCGGCGACAGACUAUGCCCCGUUCGUGCACCGCUUUGCAGCUGGUUUCAAGGGUGCCAUAUGCGAAGCCUUUGACAAGUGAGCAACUAAGUAACCCACAUUACCUUUAUCAACAUCGUGACCGUCUUGAAGACAAAUUUGAAAGUUCAACAUGCGGGCAGCCGACUCUUACCUCCACGGCGAACAUUAAGGAUGAAAAUUAUACGCGAAUGCUAAGGCAAAAGUAGUGCUCACCGUGCACCCGUAGCGGAGUGCGAGGCCUUGCAACGUCUCGCCCUCAACGAUGCGAUGCUCGAACACCGCCGGAGACGGCGGCUUUCGAGUCGCGAAUUUGUUUCUGUCACCGUUAUCCCUGGAACCGUUCUGGCCUCCACGAAGUCUGAGUUCAGUCGCGUCAUCCCAAGAGCCGACUUCAUCGGAAGCUACGUCGUCCCCGUCGGCGAAAAUAAAA